Molecule: long non-coding RNA, 241 nt
Organism: Bubalus bubalis (water buffalo)
Lineage: Eukaryota; Metazoa; Chordata; Mammalia; Artiodactyla; Bovidae
Exons: 2
Source: RefSeq, a predicted model, not a curated record
ACUCCAGUGUUCUUGCCUGGAGAAUCCCAUGGACAGAGGAGCCUGACGGGCUACAGUCCGUGGGGUCGCAGAGUCGGGCACAACUGAGCGACUAUCACUUUCACUUUCAGGACUUCAGUAUGAUGUUGAAAAGGAGUUGCCUCGCUCCUGAUCUUAGUGGGAAAGCUCCUACUGUCUCACUGUUAAGAAGAGGGGAUUUGGACACAGAAGUAUGCAGAGAGAAGACAACAUGCAAACACAA